AUUGAACGCUGGCGGCAUGCCUUACACAUGCAAGUCGAACGGUAACGGGCCUUCGGGUGCCGACGAGUGGCGAACGGGUGAGUAAUGCAUCGGAACGUACCUUUCAGUGGGGGAUAACGUAGCGAAAGUUACGCUAAUACCGCAUAUUCUGUGAGCAGGAAAGCAGGGGAUCGCAAGACCUUGCGCUGAUUGAGCGGCCGAUGUCAGAUUAGCUAGUUGGUGAGGUAAAGGCUCACCAAGGCGACGAUCUGUAGCGGGUCUGAGAGGAUGAUCCGCCACACUGGAACUGAGACACGGUCCAGACUCCUACGGGAGGCAGCAGUGGGGAAUAUUGCGCAAUGGGCGAAAGCCUGACGCAGCGACGCCGCGUGAGGGACGAAGGUCUUCGGAUUGUAAACCUCUUUCAGCAGGGACGAAGCGAAAGUGACUGUACCUGCAGAAGAAGCACCGGCUAACUACGUGCCAGCA
This 468-nucleotide ribosomal RNA is filed under the name uncultured bacterium. RNAcentral's name for it is "bacterial SSU rRNA". It matches the Rfam family "Bacterial small subunit ribosomal RNA", at positions 30 to 513 of the family's 1533-position model. The record is from RNAcentral.